AUACUUACCUGGACGUUGUCUAACGGGUGAUCAGCAAUGCCUAUGGCCUAGACCCGUGACCAUCAUUGCACUCUGAAGGGGCGCUGGUCUACCAUCUGCCCAAGUGGCAGAGUGGACGUCAUAAUUUGUGUUAGGGGGGUUCGCAUCCGCGCGGCCCCUAC
Small nuclear RNA from Dendrobium catenatum, 161 nucleotides. RefSeq annotates it as U1 spliceosomal RNA. The record is from RefSeq and is a predicted model, not a curated record. The transcript has a single exon. NCBI's taxonomy places the organism in Eukaryota, Viridiplantae, Streptophyta, Magnoliopsida, Asparagales, Orchidaceae.